AAUUAGGUAGUGAAGUUAACAGUAAGUUGCAAGCUUGAAGAGGCCUAAGGCCCUAGUUA
This 59-nucleotide transfer RNA is filed under the name Eurythenes magellanicus. RNAcentral's name for it is "tRNA-Cys". RNAcentral also lists the same sequence under 1 other name. The record is from RNAcentral. Lineage: Eukaryota; Metazoa; Arthropoda; Malacostraca; Amphipoda; Lysianassidae.